Molecule: ribosomal RNA, 281 nt
Filed under: uncultured prokaryote
Description: partial 16S ribosomal RNA
Rfam family: Bacterial small subunit ribosomal RNA
Source: RNAcentral
UACGUAGGGGGCUAGCGUUAUCCGGAAUUACUGGGCGUAAAGGGUGCGUAGGUGGUUUCUUAAGUCAGAGGUGAAAGGCUACGGCUCAACCGUAGUAAGCCUUUGAAACUGGGAAACUUGAGUGCAGGAGAGGAGAGUGGAAUUUCUAGUGUAGCGGUGAAAUGCGUAGAUAUUAGGAGGAACACCAGUUGCGAAGGCGGCUCUCUGGACUGUAACUGACACUGAGGCACGAAAGCGUGGGGAGCAAACAGGAUUAGAUACCCCGGUAGUCCCUGAGCGGG